GUGCUCACUUUGGCAGCACGUAUACUAAAAUUGGAACAAUACAGAGAAGAUUAGUAUGGCUCCUGAGCAAGGAUGACAUGCAAAUUCGUGAAGUGUUCCAUUUUUUU
This 107-nucleotide small nuclear RNA is filed under the name Myotis davidii. The record is from RNAcentral. Lineage: Eukaryota; Metazoa; Chordata; Mammalia; Chiroptera; Vespertilionidae.